This 287-nucleotide microRNA precursor is filed under the name Oryza rufipogon (brownbeard rice). RNAcentral describes it as "MIR812 microRNA precursor family". It matches the Rfam family "MIR812 microRNA precursor family". Lineage: Eukaryota; Viridiplantae; Streptophyta; Magnoliopsida; Poales; Poaceae. The record is from Rfam by way of RNAcentral.
AAAAAGACAAACCCUGGUUUCCGUGCCCAACAUUUGACCGUUCGUCUUAUUUGAAAAAAUUAUGAAAAAAAUUAAAAAGACAAGUCACGCAUAAAAUAUUAAUCAUGUUUUACCAUCUAACAANCGUCUUAUUUGAAAAAAUUAUGAAAAAAAUUAAAAAGACAAGUCACGCAUAAAAUAUUAAUCAUGUUUUACCAUCUAACAACAAUGAAAAUACGAAUUAUAAAAAAAAUUCAUAUAAGACGGACAGUCAAAGUUGGAUAUGGAAAUCCAGGGUUUGCCUUUUU